UACGAAGGGUGCUAGCGUUGUUCGGAAUCACUGGGCGUAAAGCGCGCGUAGGCGGCUUUUCAAGUCAGGGGUGAAAUGCCUGGGCUCAACCCAGGAACUGCCUCUGAAACUGUUAAGCUGGAGUGUCGGAGGGGAUAGCGGAAUUGCUAAUGUAGCGGUGAAAUGCGUAGAUAUUAGCAGGAACACCGGUGGCGAAGGCGGCUAUCUG
Molecule: ribosomal RNA, 208 nt
Filed under: uncultured prokaryote
Description: partial 16S ribosomal RNA
Rfam family: Bacterial small subunit ribosomal RNA
Source: RNAcentral